RNAcentral lists this ribosomal RNA (497 nucleotides) under uncultured bacterium. RNAcentral's name for it is "partial 16S ribosomal RNA". It matches the Rfam family "Bacterial small subunit ribosomal RNA", at positions 28 to 507 of the family's 1533-position model. The record is from RNAcentral.
GAUGAACGCUGGCGGCGUGCCUAAUACAUGCAAGUCGAGCGAACAGACGAGGAGCUUGCUCCUCUGACGUUAGCGGCGGACGGGUGAGUAACACGUGGAUAACCUACCUAUAAGACUGGGAUAACUUCGGGAAACCGGAGCUAAUACCGGAUAAUAUAUUGAACCGCAUGGUUCAAUAGUGAAAGACGGUUUUGCUGUCACUUAUAGCUGGAUCCGCGCCGCAUUAGCUAGUUGGGAAGGUAACGGCUUACCAAGGCAACGAUGCGUAGCCGACCUGAGAGGGUGAUCGGCCACACUGGAACUGAGACACGGUCCAGACUCCUACGGGAGGCAGCAGUAGGGAAUCUUCCGCAAUGGGCGAAAGCCUGACGGAGCAACGCCGCGUGAGUGAUGAAGGUCUUCGGAUCGUAAAACUCUGUUAUUAGGGAAGAACAAAUGUGUAAGUAACUAUGCACGUCUUGACGGUACCUAAUCAGAAAGCCACGGCUAACUACGUG